AAACACAAAUGUAGGUGGUUUUACAAGUGUGAUUUUGUUCAGAAGUAAUCUGGAUCUUUGUGUUUUCAUCUGCAGAAGUUCUUGGGGUUGUGUGACAUUGUGACUGUGGGUGAUCAGAAAGGAGACACGAAAAUACACUGGAAACUAAACGCCAGCAGAGCCAGCAGAUGGCAGCAGUGCAGCUCACACCAACACAGCUCAGCCUGGCCAACCUCAGCACCUACUGUACUGAACACACACAUCAGAGCCGUGAAAGUCACCAAGGGACGAUACAUUUAACGGAGGACAUGUUGGUGGUGUCGUUCUUUGUGUCACAGGAACACGGUGUCCUCCUGCAGGACUCAGAGCCUAAACCGGCUACGCUGCUUUCUCUACUGGCUUUAGAUACACUGUAUCACUAUUAUAUCUACAAGGUACAUACAAACAAGAUACAGACACCCUUCAUUCCCCUUUCUGUCAUUCUGUAUGCAUCUCUAUUUCUAACCCUUUUACAAUUUUUAUCGGAAUGCAUUGUUUUAUUUUUUCUCAUUCUUAUUGUAUUCUGAUUGUUCUGCCACUGCUAAGCUCUUAUUUCGGAGGGUAGGCCUCGUUCUCUCUGAUGUUAGUACCCU
Molecule: long non-coding RNA, 611 nt
Organism: Carassius auratus (goldfish)
Lineage: Eukaryota; Metazoa; Chordata; Actinopteri; Cypriniformes; Cyprinidae
Exons: 3
Source: RefSeq, a predicted model, not a curated record